Molecule: ribosomal RNA, 492 nt
Filed under: uncultured bacterium
Lineage: Bacteria
Description: partial 16S ribosomal RNA
Rfam family: Bacterial small subunit ribosomal RNA
Source: RNAcentral
AGUGAACGCUGGCGGUAGGCCUAACACAUGCAAGUCGAACGGCAGCACAGUAAGAGCUUGCUCUUACGGGUGGCGAGUGGCGGACGAGUGAGGAAUACAUCGGAAUCUACUUUUUCGUGGGGGAUGACGUAGGGAAACUUACGCUAAUACCGCAUACGACCUACGGGUGAAAGCAGGGGAUCUUCGGACCUUGCGCGAUUGAAUGAGCCGAUGUCGGAUUAGCUAGUUGGCGGGGUAAAGGCCCACCAAGGCGACGAUCCGUAGCUGGUCUGAGAGGAUGAUCAGCCACACUGGAACUGAGACACGGUCCAGACUCCUACGGGAGGCAGCAGUGGGGAAUAUUGGACAAUGGGCGCAAGCCUGAUCCAGCCAUACCGCGUGGGUGAAGAAGGCCUUCGGGUUGUAAAGCCCUUUUGUUGGGAAAGAAAAGCAGCAGGUUAAUACCCCGCUGUUCUGACGGUACCCAAAGAAUAAGCACCGGCUAACUUCGUG